Molecule: unclassified non-coding RNA, 2134 nt
Filed under: Hevea brasiliensis (rubber tree)
Lineage: Eukaryota; Viridiplantae; Streptophyta; Magnoliopsida; Malpighiales; Euphorbiaceae
Source: RNAcentral
GUGUCUCAGUUGGGGAAGAUUCUCUUAUAUAUGAUUCAACCAUAUCUGGUGGAAUGCAAAUUGGUUCCCAAUCUGUAGUUGUUGGAAUUAAUGUCCCAGGAGACAUUGGUGCGGUGGCAGAAAAUUCAUUCAGAUUCAUGCUUCCAGAUCGUCAAUGUCUUUGGGAGGUUCCUCUAGUCGAAUGUACAGAAAGAGUCAUAGUGUAUUGUGGCCUCCAUGAUAACCCAAAAAUUUCACUUUCCAAGGAUGGGACUUUCUGUGGGAAACCCUGGAAGAAAGUCUUGCAUGAUUUGGGGAUUGAAGAAAGUGACCUGUGGAACUCAGUGGGUUCUCAGGAGAAGUGCUUAUGGAAUGCUAAAAUAUUCCCCAUUCUUUCUUACUUUGAGAUGCUUAGUUUGGCCUCGUGGUUGAUGGGUUUGGGUGACCCAAAAACUAAAAGUUUGCUUUCCUUGUGGAAAAAUUCACGCCGUGUCAGUUUGGAGGAGUUGCAUAGAUCAAUUGACUUUUCAAAAAUGUGUACAGGCUCAAGUAGUCAUCAUGCUGAUCUUGCAGCUGGAAUUGCUAAGGCUUGCAUUAACUAUGGCAUGCUUGGACGAAACUUGUUCCAAUUGUGUCAGGAAAUUCUACAGAAGGAAGCUUCAGGAGUCGAAAUAUGCAAGGACUUCUUGGAACUGUGUCCCAAACUUCAGGAGCAGAAUUCUAAAAUUCUUCCCAGGAGUCGGGCAUAUCAGGUGCAAGUUGAUCUUCUUCGAGCAUGCGGAGAUGAAAAAACUGCAUGCCAGUUGGAACAUAAAGUUUGGGCUGCAGUCGCUGAUGAAACUGCUUCUGCAGUGAGAUAUGGUUUUAAAGAACAUCUCUUGGAGUCUCCUGGCAGCUUGCCUGCUUCGGAAUAUGAGAACAAUCACAUUGAUGACUCUCUCAGUCAAUCUUUCUGCGCUAGAAGGGUAAAGGUUGAGUUACCAGUUCGUGUAGAUUUUGUUGGGGGAUGGAGUGACACUCCUCCAUGGAGCUUGGAGCGUGCUGGAUGUGUUCUGAAUAUGGCAAUAAGUUUGGAUGCUUGUCUUCCCAUUGGCACAAUCAUAGAGACAACAGAAAAGACUGGAGUGUUCAUUAAUGAUGAUGCUGGAAACCAGUUAUACAUUGAGAAUGUUACCUCAAUAGCACCUCCAUUUGACGAUGACGAUGUAUUCCGGCUUGUCAAAUCUGCAUUGCUUGUGACUGGUGUUAUUCACAAAAACAUUCUUGCAUCCAUGGGCUUGCGAAUCAAGACAUGGGCAAAUGUACCUCGUGGUAGCGGCCUGGGAACUUCGAGCAUCCUAGCAGCUGCUGUUGUGAAAGGCCUCCUUCAGAUAACUGAUGGAGAUAAAAAUAAUGAAAAUGUUGCUAGACUGGUUUUGGUAUUGGAACAACUCAUGGGGACAGGAGGUGGGUGGCAGGAUCAAAUUGGAGGUUUGUACUCUGGUAUUAAAUUUACUACAAGUUUCCCUGGAAUACCAUUGAGGCUCCAAGUCGUCCCCUUAUUGGCUUCUUCUCAGCUGAUAUCAGAAUUGCACCAGAGAUUGCUUGUUGUGUUUACUGGUCAAGUUCGACUUGCACAUCAAGUUCUACAGAAAGUAGUUACUAGAUACCUUCAGCGGGAUAACCUUCUUGUAUCCAGUGUUAAGCGCCUUGCUGAACUGGCAAAAAUUGGGAGAGAGGCUUUAAUGAACUGUGAAGUGGACGAACUAGGGGAGAUAAUGCUGGAGGCCUGGAGGUUGCAUCAGGAACUUGAUCCGUACUGCAGCAAUGAAUUGGUUGAUAGGCUAUUUGCAUUUGCUGACCCCUACUGCUGUGGCUACAAACUUGUGGGUGCUGGUGGUGGGGGCUUUGCGUUGUUACUUGCUAAGGAUGCUAAUGCUGGAAAGGAACUGAGACAUAAGCUAGAAGAAUGUUCAAAUUUUGAUGUGAAAGUCUACAAGUGGAACCUCUUUUUAGACAAUUAGACGUAUAAAUAUGACCAUAAAUACCUCUUAUUAUUCUUUACACAGACCUUUGUAUAAUUCUUUAUGAUAGGUUUAUAAGAUGAUUUAUGUAUGGAUUACGAGCGAUAAGUGUGUGAUACAAGGAACUAAAAAUUAUUUGUAUGUUGACUAUA